RNAcentral lists this ribosomal RNA (461 nucleotides) under Escherichia coli. Its description in RNAcentral is "partial 23S ribosomal RNA". It matches the Rfam family "Bacterial large subunit ribosomal RNA", at positions 419 to 882 of the family's 2925-position model. Lineage: Bacteria; Pseudomonadati; Pseudomonadota; Gammaproteobacteria; Enterobacterales; Enterobacteriaceae. The record is from RNAcentral.
GGGACACGUGGUAUCCUGUCUGAAUAUGGGGGGACCAUCCUCCAAGGCUAAAUACUCCUGACUGACCGAUAGUGAACCAGUACCGUGAGGGAAAGGCGAAAAGAACCCCGGCGAGGGGAGUGAAAAAGAACCUGAAACCGUGUACGUACAAGCAGUGGGAGCACGCUUAGGCGUGUGACUGCGUACCUUUUGUAUAAUGGGUCAGCGACUUAUAUUCUGUAGCAAGGUUAACCGAAUAGGGGAGCCGAAGGGAAACCGAGUCUUAACUGGGCGUUAAGUUGCAGGGUAUAGACCCGAAACCCGGUGAUCUAGCCAUGGGCAGGUUGAAGGUUGGGUAACACUAACUGGAGGACCGAACCGACUAAUGUUGAAAAAUUAGCGGAUGACUUGUGGCUGGGGGUGAAAGGCCAAUCAAACCGGGAGAUAGCUGGUUCUCCCCGAAAGCUAUUUAGGUAGCGCCU